AUUGAAGGAACUGGUGUAGUUUUCUGCACUGAAAUUGCACUUUUCUUACAGAAGUGUUGUCAAAACACCGACACCAUGUUCCAUUGAUAGGAACUGCAAUAAAAAAGUGCAAUUCCAGUGCAAUUUCAGGGCAGAGAUGUGGCACCGAAAAAAUUGUCGGUGGAGCCAGUGCACUCACCAACACAGACCAACACCAAUCACGCAAACGUCAAAGCAACGUUCAAAAUGGAUGCGUAAACAAAUCGGCUGUCGCAGAAAAGGACAGGAAUAGUAUCCUUCUGCCGGAAUUGCAUUUGAUACUCAAUGGUUUGCGAGCUUUCGACUUCAAUUCUGUCUUGACUAGAGGUAUGCGUUUUAUUGAUUAAUAGUUCAGUGUGAACCAAAAAAAGAGACCAUCGAACAACAGACGAAACCAUUGCCCGUUACCACUAUCAACGGGAAGGAUUGCCAGGUUUGGAAAUAGCUCGGUUCAGGUGGCUUCAGUUCAGUGUUUUCGGCCAAACAAAUGGGGACGGGCGUUGAAGUUGACGAAUCUCGAAGGCGCUUCCAGGAUAGUAGAAGGUUACUUAAACGAAAUGAAACUGUUGGCGAGAUUGCAAAGGAAUGAAAAUGUAGUAGCGCUGUUACACGUAUGAUUUGCCAUGUUCCGGAGUCUAUCCAAAUUUACCUGGUAAUAGAAAAGGGUGAUGGUAAUCUGCACAAACUCCUGCAAAGCUACCGCAAGAAUAUCCCGCUGUACACGCUCAUGCAAAUUUGGUACCAGAUAGUACAGUGUGUGAAUUACAUUCACGAGCACGGUGUCAUCCAUCUGGAUCUCAAACUGGCUAACUUUCUGAUGGUAGAAGGUCGUCUGAAACUGAUUGACUUUGGCAUCACCAGCAACGUCUCCACCAGUAUUACGAAGUUUUCCAAGUGGGCACAUUCAACUACAUCAGUCCGGAUGCUCUGAUUGCUUGACUACGCGUUUGACCGGUUGGGAAAUAAAGAUGCUGUAGUAACUUUACAUAUGUGUAUGUUGGAACGAAAUAUAUUAUGUAUUUACGUA
Long non-coding RNA from Topomyia yanbarensis, 1045 nucleotides. RefSeq lists it as uncharacterized. The record is from RefSeq and is a predicted model, not a curated record. The transcript has 4 exons. NCBI's taxonomy places the organism in Eukaryota, Metazoa, Arthropoda, Insecta, Diptera, Culicidae.